UUCUCUCCAACAACCUUAGCUCUGUAACACUGUAGGAUUAUCCUCAUGAACUCUAAAGGAAAAUCCAAGCCUGCUGCAUAGCUACUGUUUCAAUCUUGGCAGCAGCAGAUUUUUCUUUUUUUAGCUAUCCGGAGGAGCCAAAGCUAAAGGUUGCAAUACUUCAGUCUUUUCCACUUCUUGGUGCUGCCGUUUGUAAAUCUCAGCAGCUGAGUCACACUUAAGCACCAGUCCUCAGGGGAUAAAUUCUCAUCAGACUUUUUUUUGGUUUAAAACUAGCAGGUUCAAGUGUUUUACAACUGUCAACAAACCACGUAAUGUAUAAAAUGAAAGUGGUGUACAAAAAAAUAACUGCAACAAGCUCAUGAAAUACUUUUUAUUUUAGUAAGGGUCAGGACAGAAGCUAAAACUUACCCAGGGAAGAGUUACUACUUUGUAAAGAACGCAUCACAACUCCCCUCAGGCUAGGUGCAGUAAAUGUCUGUACAGUCUCUCCAGGAUUCUGUAUUUGGAAGCUUCAAGAUGCCAGUGGUGUCACACUUCAGGCACUUAUCUUUUUAAAGUUUACAGAGGAUCUUCAAGUUGUUAUAAGCCACAUGUUAAGAAGUAUUUUAUAAAAAUGAACCAAAUAUCUGAAGAAUGUCCCAAAGGAGACCAGCCCACCUUAGACUGGAGUAUUCUUGUCAUACAUUUCAUAGGCAAAUUCUUCUGUAUGAGCUCUGUCAUUUAACAAGCCAAUAAAAUCUAUCUCCAGCUGGAACGGACCAUCUACUUUAUCUCCGAUUGUGAAUCCAAGGGUACUAAUCUAAUUAAAAGAUACAUAGAACAGUAUUUAUAAUGUUACAGUCAAACCAAAUUGUACCUCUCACUCCAUACUUUACAAACAACUCAUGGCCAUUUAUUUUAAACUGGUAUUUGUUCGAAAUGCAACAGCAUUUCUUAAGGCUUGAACACUUUUCCCCAUUUUUAAUACAGACCCCUGUAGGAAAUGGAUUCACAUUUGCCUUUCUACUGCUGGUUUUAUCAUGAUUGGGUUUAUAAACACAUUUUCUUAUAAAGUCAGGUACAAUUCUUUUGUGAGUUGGAAAGAUAAAAGAUCUAAUUAAGGACAGAAAGGAUCAUACUAAACCAGAUGUUUUAAAAAGCAUGAAACUUAAAUACUGAGUUUAAUAGUAACGCAAGGUUCUUACCCACUGUUUCCCAAUUAGAAUAAUGUUCUUAAAAAUAACAUUGUUUAUCCCUUUCCCUAAUGUUCUCCACCACUAUUCCCAUUUUAAAAAAUAGAAUUAUUCUAACUGCAGUAACUUCCAUAAAAAUCUGUGUGGCUCAGGCAUGAUUUCUAUUAGCCUGUGGCUUGCCCAAAAGCUCCUUCAGGUUUUAUAUGUUAUGAAACACUUUUCAGAGACUCCAGUGUUAACAGUUCUGUGGUAAAUUGAGUCACCAGUGCAGGCCACCUCCUGAACUCGAGCUGCCCUGAAGCCCUGCUAGAAGUGCAGGUCUGAGCAGUGCCAUGAUUUUAAGAACUGCUGUACCUUCAGGAAAAUAAUGUUGUGUCAGAUGAAUAAUUGUCCAAGUCUAAACAUAUAUUGCAAAUGUAUGUCAAAUAAACAAUAGAGCAAAGCUAAAUAAAUUAAAUGCAUUGACAUUC
Chiroxiphia lanceolata (lance-tailed manakin) is the source of this 1645-nucleotide long non-coding RNA. RefSeq lists it as uncharacterized. Lineage: Eukaryota; Metazoa; Chordata; Aves; Passeriformes; Pipridae. The record is from RefSeq and is a predicted model, not a curated record. The transcript is spliced from 2 exons.